Molecule: transfer RNA, 76 nt
Filed under: Vibrio parahaemolyticus
Lineage: Bacteria; Pseudomonadati; Pseudomonadota; Gammaproteobacteria; Vibrionales; Vibrionaceae
Description: tRNA-Glu
Rfam family: tRNA
About the family: Transfer RNA (tRNA) molecules are approximately 80 nucleotides in length. Their secondary structure includes four short double-helical elements and three loops (D, anti-codon, and T loops).
Source: RNAcentral
GUCCCGUUCGUCUAGAGGCCUAGGACACCGCCCUUUCACGGCGGUAACAGGGGUUCGACUCUCCUACGGGAUACCA